This 253-nucleotide ribosomal RNA is filed under the name uncultured bacterium. RNAcentral's name for it is "partial 16S ribosomal RNA". It matches the Rfam family "Bacterial small subunit ribosomal RNA", at positions 524 to 776 of the family's 1533-position model. The record is from RNAcentral.
UACGUAGGCAGCGAGCGUUGUUCGGAAUUACUGGGCGUAAAGAGUGUGUAGGCGGUGCUCUAAGUUCGGUGUGAAAUCUCCUGGCUUAACUGGGAGGGUGCGCCGGAAACUGGGGUGCUCGAGCGUGGGAGAGGAAAGCGGAAUUCCUGGUGUAGCGGUGAAAUGCGUAGAUAUUGGGAAGAACACCGGUGGCGAAAGCGCCUUGCUGGGUCUGCACUGACACUGAGGGACGAAAGCUAGGGGAGCGAAAGGG